CAAUAGCGUAUAUUAAAGUUGUUGCGGUAAAAAAGCUCGUAGUUGGAUUUCUACCGAAGAUAGCCGGUCGGGUCUUCGACCUUGUAUCUGGUUUUGUCUUUGGUAUCCUCAUAGGGAACGUUUCUGCGCUUUAUUGCGUGGUGCGGUAUCUAUGACUUUUACUUUGAGGAAAUUAGAGUGUUCACGGCAGGCAAACGCCUUGAAUAUAUUAGCAUGGAAUAAUAACAUAGGAUCUUCGUCCUAUUUUGUUGGUUUCUAGGGCUAAGAUAAUGAUUAAUAGGGAUAAUUGGGGGCAUCUGUAUCAACGCGUCAGAGGUGAAAUUCUUGGAUUGCGUUGCGACAAACUACUGCGAAAGCAUUUGCCAAGGAUGUUUUCAUUGA
Molecule: ribosomal RNA, 381 nt
Filed under: uncultured eukaryote
Lineage: Eukaryota
Description: partial 18S ribosomal RNA
Rfam family: Eukaryotic small subunit ribosomal RNA
Source: RNAcentral